RNAcentral lists this long non-coding RNA (345 nucleotides) under Lactuca sativa (garden lettuce). RNAcentral describes it as "long non-coding RNA (LSAT_LNC003346)". The record is from RNAcentral. Lineage: Eukaryota; Viridiplantae; Streptophyta; Magnoliopsida; Asterales; Asteraceae.
GAUCAUGAAAGUGAUGUCAUGGUGUAUACAGAAAAUGAUCCGAGCUUUUGUGUAGACAUCACGAGUACAAAAGAUGGAAAAUUCAUAACUGUGAAUUCGAACACAAGGACUUCAUCAGAGGAAGGAACUUAUCUAAAUCAAUUAAUUUGUAUAUAUAUAUUUUUUUUUCUUUUCAUGGUUUAUUUUGAAUCUUGAUGAUUGUAACUUUGAAAUACAGGUGUACAUAAUAGAUGCAAAUAACCCACAAGAUGGUUUACAAAAAGUGCAUACUCGUGUUUCUGGUGUACAAUUUUUUUUGGAACAUCAUAAAGGAUUCUUCUAUAUUCUAACAAAUGCAUCUCAAAA